Molecule: transfer RNA, 71 nt
Filed under: Patescibacteria group bacterium
Lineage: Bacteria
Description: tRNA-Thr
Rfam family: tRNA
About the family: Transfer RNA (tRNA) molecules are approximately 80 nucleotides in length. Their secondary structure includes four short double-helical elements and three loops (D, anti-codon, and T loops).
Source: RNAcentral
GCCGGGAUAGCUUAGUGGAAAAGCAGGGGUUUUGUAAACCUCGGACGGGGGUUCGAUUCCUCUUCCCGGCU